This is a long non-coding RNA of Amaranthus tricolor (Joseph's coat), 827 nucleotides long. RefSeq lists it as uncharacterized. The record is from RefSeq and is a predicted model, not a curated record. NCBI's taxonomy places the organism in Eukaryota, Viridiplantae, Streptophyta, Magnoliopsida, Caryophyllales, Amaranthaceae. The transcript has 3 exons.
UUAUAAACCUAACCCUUGAUUUCCUAAAUACCCAUGUUUAUGAUACAUACCACUACCUAUCUAGUACCCUUCUUUCUUGUUCAUCCAACUAGUAUAUUCAUCAAUUUUGUUUUUUUGGGUUUCUUCAUCAAUUUGUGGGUUUCUGUGGGUUUGUUACAUUUACCAUAAUAGAUUUUGUGGUUUCUUCAUCAAUUUGUGGGUUCGGUUGGUAUUCAUUUUGUGGGUUUGUUUGUUAUUCGAUUUGUGGGUUUGUUCUUCAUUUCUGGUUUGAAGAACACUGGUAAGAUCCUUGAUGAUGAUAAUCCUUAAAGGGUUGAUGUUGAUAACCCUAAAAGGGUUGGUGAUGAUACCCCAAAGGUGAUGAUUACCCUAAUUAUCCUGAUGAAUCUAAUGGUGACUAUGAAUCAUCUAUUGAGACUAAUCCAUGUUGGGGUCGAGAACUAGAUUCUGAGGGUGAAGCCAUCUACAGUUCAGAACCGGACGAUCCUAACCAUGUGUAUUACUCGAUAGAUGCUGUAUUUGCUUGAUGUGAUUGUGAGGAAGAAUGGCUUGAUAGCCUUGGUCCAUUUACAAUCGAUGAAAAAAAAAAAAAGCAAUCACAUGAUCAGCAAAGACUGCUAUUAUCCCGAAGCUGUUGAGGAGUUGAAAAGGCUUGCGGAAAUUAAGUAGUCGAUCUAUGUAAUUUUAUUUUUCGUUGUAAAAACAGUUAAAUGUAAUGUAUCAGUAUUUAUGAAUUUUAAUCAAUGGUUAAUUAUGUAAUGCAUAAAUUCAUGAAUGUAUUAGUCAGGACUUGUAUUAGAUUUUCAAUAUUAUUGGAUCAUUUAUGA